CAAUCAGUUUUGCCAUCUUUC
Molecule: non-coding RNA, 21 nt
Filed under: Arabidopsis thaliana (thale cress)
Lineage: Eukaryota; Viridiplantae; Streptophyta; Magnoliopsida; Brassicales; Brassicaceae
Source: RNAcentral